Molecule: ribosomal RNA, 465 nt
Filed under: uncultured bacterium
Lineage: Bacteria
Description: partial 16S ribosomal RNA
Rfam family: Bacterial small subunit ribosomal RNA
Source: RNAcentral
GAUGAACGCUGGCGGCGUGCUUAACACAUGCAAGUCGAACGGAAAGGCUCCUGCUUGCAGGGGUACUCGAGUGGCGAACGGGUGAGUAACACGUGGGUGAUCUGCCCUGCACUUCGGGAUAAGCCUGGGAAACUGGGUCUAAUACCGGAUAGGACGAUGGUUUGGAUGCCAUUGUGGAAAGUUUUUCGGUGUGGGAUGAGCUCGCGGCCUAUCAGCUUGUUGGUGGGGUAAUGGCCUACCAAGGCGUCGACGGGUAGCCGGCCUGAGAGGGUGUACGGCCACAUUGGGACUGAGAUACGGCCCAGACUCCUACGGGAGGCAGAAGUGGGGAAUAUUGCACAAUGGGCGCAAGCCUGAUGCAGCGACGCCGCGUGGGGGAUGACGGCCUUCGGGUUGUAAACUCCUUUCGUCAGGGACGAAGCGAAAGUGACGGUACCUGGAUAAGAAGCACCGGCUAACUACGUG